RNAcentral lists this transfer RNA (70 nucleotides) under Rattus norvegicus (Norway rat). It matches the Rfam family "tRNA". From Rfam's summary of the family: Transfer RNA (tRNA) molecules are approximately 80 nucleotides in length. Their secondary structure includes four short double-helical elements and three loops (D, anti-codon, and T loops). Lineage: Eukaryota; Metazoa; Chordata; Mammalia; Rodentia; Muridae. The record is from Rfam by way of RNAcentral.
UGGGGUUUAGCUCAGUGGUAGAGCGCUUGCCUAGGAAGCGCAAGGCCCUGGGUUCGGUCCCCAGCUCCAA